This 190-nucleotide unclassified non-coding RNA is filed under the name rhizosphere metagenome. RNAcentral describes it as "partial ribosomal RNA internal transcribed spacer region". The record is from RNAcentral.
GUAGGUGAACCUGCGGAAGGAUCAUUACCGUGGGGCUUCGGCCCCAUUGAGAUAGCACCCCUUGUUUAUGAGUACCCUUGUUUCCUCGGCGGGCUUGGCCGCCAUGAGGACAUUAAAAACCCUUUGUAGUAGCAGUAACUUCAGUUAAUAAUAAAUAUUAAGACUUUCAACAACGGAUCUCUUGGUUCUG